RNAcentral lists this ribosomal RNA (245 nucleotides) under uncultured bacterium. Its description in RNAcentral is "partial 16S ribosomal RNA". It matches the Rfam family "Bacterial small subunit ribosomal RNA", at positions 528 to 772 of the family's 1533-position model. The record is from RNAcentral.
UAGGGAGCAAGCGUUAUCCGGAAUUAUUGGGUGUAAAGGGUGCGUAGACGGGAAUACAAGUUGGUUGUGAAAGCCCUCGGCUCAACUGAGGAACUGCAACCAAAACUAUAUUUCUUGAGUGCAGGAGAGGAAAGCGGAAUUCCUAGUGUAGCGGUGAAAUGCGUAGAUAUUAGGAGGAACACCAGUGGCGAAGGCGGCUUUCUGGACUGUAACUGACGUUGAGGCACGAAAGUGUGGGGAGCAAA